Molecule: ribosomal RNA, 301 nt
Filed under: uncultured bacterium
Lineage: Bacteria
Description: partial 16S ribosomal RNA
Rfam family: Bacterial small subunit ribosomal RNA
Source: RNAcentral
CAGCCGCCGCGGGAAUACGUAGGGUGCAAGCGUUAAUCGGAAUUACUGGGCGUAAAGCGUGCGCAGGCGGUUAUAUAAGACAGAUGUGAAAUCCCCGGGCUCAACCUGGGAACUGCAUUUGAAACUGUCAGGCUGGAGUCUUGUAGAGGGGGGUAGAAUUCCAGGUGUAGCGGUGAAAUGCGUAGAGAUCUGGAGGAAUACCGGUGGCGAAGGCGGCCCCCUGGACAAAGACUGACGCUCAGGUGCGAAAGCGUGGGGAGCAAACAGGAUUAGAUACCCGCGUAGUCCCUGUCUCUUAUAC